AUACUCUGGUUUCUCUUCAGAUCGUAUAAAUCUUUCGCCUUUUACUAAAGAUUUCCGUGGAGAGGAACAUUUAUGAGUUUCUACCCAAUUUUUUGAGGCUUCACUUCGGUGAAGCU
Small nuclear RNA from Gopherus agassizii (Agassiz's desert tortoise), 116 nucleotides. Its record names the gene U5. It matches the Rfam family "U5 spliceosomal RNA". Rfam says of the family: U5 RNA is a component of both types of known spliceosome. The precise function of this molecule is unknown, though it is known that the 5' loop is required for splice site selection and p220 binding, and that both the 3' stem-loop and the Sm site are important for Sm protein binding and cap methylation. The record is from Ensembl. Lineage: Eukaryota; Metazoa; Chordata; Testudines; Testudinidae.